GACGAACGCUGGCGGCGUGCCUAAUACAUGCAAGUAGAACGCACAGUUUAUACCGUAGCUUGCUACACCAUAAACUGUGAGUUGCGAACGGGUGAGUAACGCGUAGGUAACCUGCCUGGUAGCGGGGGAUAACUAUUGGAAACGAUAGCUAAUACCGCAUAAUAUUGAUUAUUGCAUGAUAAUUGAUUGAAAGAUGCUAUUGCAUCACUACCAGAUGGACCUGCGUUGUAUUAGCUAGUAGGUGAGGUAACGGCUCACCUAGGCGACGAUACAUAGCCGACCUGAGAGGGUGAUCGGCCACACUGGGACUGAGACACGGCCCAGACGCCUACGGGAGGCAGCAGUAGGGAAUCUUCGGCAAUGGACGAAAGUCUGACCGAGCAACGCCGCGUGAGUGAAGAAGGUUUUCGGAUCGUAAAGCUCUGUUGUAAGAGAAGAACGGGUGUGAGAGUGGAAAGUUCACACUGUGACGGUAUCUUACCAGAAAGGGACGGCUAACUACGUG
This 505-nucleotide ribosomal RNA is filed under the name uncultured bacterium. RNAcentral's name for it is "partial 16S ribosomal RNA". It matches the Rfam family "Bacterial small subunit ribosomal RNA", at positions 28 to 507 of the family's 1533-position model. The record is from RNAcentral.